GACGAACGCUGGCGGCGUGCCUAAUACAUGCAAGUAGAACGCUGAAGGAGGAGCUUGCUUCUCUGGAUGAGUUGCGAACGGGUGAGUAACGCGUAGGUAACCUGCCUGGUAGCGGGGGAUAACUAUUGGAAACGAUAGCUAAUACCGCAUAAUAGCAGUUGUUGCAUGACAACUGUUUGAAAGGUGCAAUUGCACCACUACCAGAUGGACCUGCGUUGUAUUAGCUAGUUGGUGGGGUAACGGCUCACCAAGGCGACGAUACAUAGCCGACCUGAGAGGGUGAUCGGCCACACUGGGACUGAGACACGGCCCAGACUCCUACGGGAGGCAGCAGUAGGGAAUCUUCGGCAAUGGACGGAAGUCUGACCGAGCAACGCCGCGUGAGUGAAGAAGGUUUUCGGAUCGUAAAGCUCUGUUGUAAGAGAAGAGCGAGUGUGAGAGUGGAAAGUUCACACUGUGACGGUAUCUUACCAGAAAGGGACGGCUAACUACGUG
This 495-nucleotide ribosomal RNA is filed under the name uncultured bacterium. RNAcentral's name for it is "partial 16S ribosomal RNA". It matches the Rfam family "Bacterial small subunit ribosomal RNA", at positions 28 to 507 of the family's 1533-position model. The record is from RNAcentral.